Long non-coding RNA from Raphanus sativus (radish), 1176 nucleotides. RefSeq lists it as uncharacterized. The record is from RefSeq and is a predicted model, not a curated record. The transcript has 2 exons. NCBI's taxonomy places the organism in Eukaryota, Viridiplantae, Streptophyta, Magnoliopsida, Brassicales, Brassicaceae.
CGAAGUCGGUUUUUAAAUUUUUUUUUUAUCGUGGGAUUUCAUGUGGCGGUAAGACCCACGCACAAUAAGAGCAGGUGCAACGGAAGUCCGACGCUGAUCCUUAGCGUGUUUUUAUAUGCUGAGUUGAAUAGAUUUAUAUUAUAAAAACUAAAUAAUCUAAGGAUUUCAUCAGAUCAGUCAUUCUGUAAGAGGUUUAAGGACUUGAUCCUUAAGACAGGUGGCAACGGGUUAUUGGACAGGUGAUGUUUUGAGUUUGGUUUUGUCGGCAAACUCUCUCCUCCCUCGAUCUCUCUCAAUCUCCUCCUCCGAUUCUUGAUCAUUCAGCCAACAUCCAAGUCUCUCUUCACUUCCCCGAUUCGCAGCUCCGGUGACGUCUACUUCAAAUCACCGGAGAAAGCUUCGCGAUUUCGCCGUUCGGAGAUUUUGCGUUUCCGAUGUGCAAAACGGAGGAAUCGGGGUGGAGGAGGAGGAAGAGCUUGAGCUACAGAACAAGCCUAAUCCUGCAUCGAAACAAGACGAGGAGGACGAGGAGAAUGAGCGUGGGAAGAAGAAGAAAGCAGACGACGACGAGAUUCUCGAGCCGUUUCUCAAAUUCUUCAAGCACGAAGAAGUAGAAGAAGAAGAAGAUGAAGAAUCGGAGGAGGAGACGGAGAGAGUCAAUGAGUGGAGAUGAGAUCUGUUCUGAAGAUGUUGAGAUACACAAAGAGUGUGCCUUUCCUGAUGGGAUUUCAAUCAAUUGACCUCAUCAGACUCGUGUUCUCGAAGAGCCAAUCUUGUCUGAAUCUCCAAAGCUACGCCUUCUAAAGUUGAUUCCUUUUUGCAGUUUCCUGAUAAAGGGGAUGAUGGUCAGCCGUUUGUGGGGAAGAUCAUAACAAUGAAGUAUGGAGACUAUACAAGAAGAGUUGGGAUCGAUGGUACAGCUGAAGCCAUCAAAGAAGCUAUCAGAUCCACGUUUAGGUUAAGAACAAGGCGAGCUUUUUGGCUUGAGGCUGAAGAACAGGUUGUACGCUCUCUUGACAGAGACAUGCCAACAUGGAACGAGUACUGCAAGCAGCUAGAAGAUAACCCUUUUUUUUUCUUUGUACAUAUGUUCCGUCUAUUCAUUUCAUCUAUUAGCUUGGUAGACUUUGGAAGAACUGAAUCAAAGAUAUGCAAUGGACAUAGACAAUGAGAAUA